GACGAACGCUGGCGGCGUGCUUAACACAUGCAAGUCGAACGGAAAGGCCCUGCUUUUGUGGGGUGCUCGAGUGGCGAACGGGUGAGUAACACGUGAGUAACCUGCUCUUGACUUUGGGAUAACUUCAGGAAACUGGGGCUAAUACCGGAUAGGAGCUCCUGCUGCAUGGUGGGGGUUGGAAAGUUUCGGUGGUUGGGGAUGGACUCGCGGCUUAUCAGCUUGUUGGUGGGGUAGUGGCUUACCAAGGCUUUGACGGGUAGCCGGCCUGAGAGGGUGACCGGCCACAUUGGGACUGAGAUACGGCCCAGACUCCUACGGGAGGCAGCAGUGGGGAAGAUUGCACAAUGGGCGGAAGCCUGAUGCAGCAACGCCGCGUGCGGGAUGGCGGCCUUCGGGUUGUAAACCGCUUUCGCCUGUGACGAAGCGUGAGUGACGGUAAUGGGUAAAGAAGCACCGGCUAACUACGUG
Molecule: ribosomal RNA, 468 nt
Filed under: uncultured bacterium
Lineage: Bacteria
Description: partial 16S ribosomal RNA
Rfam family: Bacterial small subunit ribosomal RNA
Source: RNAcentral